UACGGAGGGUGCAAGCGUUAUCCGGAUUCACUGGGUUUAAAGGGUGCGUAGGCGGCUUGGUAAGUCAGUGGUGAAAGCCCGGAGCUCAACUCCGGAACUGCCAUUGAUACUGCUUAGCUUGAAUCAGGUCGAGGUGGAUGGAAUAUUACAUGUAGCGGUGAAAUGCUUAGAUAUGUAAUAGAACACCGAUUGCGAAGGCAGUUCACUAGGCCUGUAUUGACACUGAGGCACGAAAGCGUGGGGAUCAAACAGG
RNAcentral lists this ribosomal RNA (253 nucleotides) under uncultured bacterium. RNAcentral describes it as "partial 16S ribosomal RNA". It matches the Rfam family "Bacterial small subunit ribosomal RNA", at positions 524 to 776 of the family's 1533-position model. The record is from RNAcentral.